Vararia minispora EC-137 is the source of this 97-nucleotide non-coding RNA. NCBI's taxonomy places the organism in Eukaryota, Fungi, Basidiomycota, Agaricomycetes, Russulales, Lachnocladiaceae. The record is from the annotation of a GenBank genome assembly.
GCCCGCCUAGCUCAAUCGGAUAGAGCGUCAGACUCUUAUAAUCCCGGCUGUUCUGCAGGCGAUCUGAAGGCUGCGAGUUCGACCCUCGCGGUGGGCU